AGUGAACGCUGGCGGCAGGCCUAAUACAUGCAAGUCGAACGGCAGCACAGCAGAGCUUGCUCUGUGGGUGGCGAGUGGCGGACGGGUGAGGAAUACGUGGGAAUCUGCCCAGUCGUGGGGGAUAACGUAGGGAAACUUACGCUAAUACCGCAUGCGCCCUUCGGGGAAAGCCGGGGACCUUCGGGCCUGGCGCGAUUGGAUGAGCCCACGUCGGAUUAGCUAGUUGGCGGGGUAAAGGCCCACCAAGGCGACGAUCCGUAGCUGGUCUGAGAGGAUGAUCAGCCACACUGGAACUGAGACACGGUCCAGACUCCUACGGGAGGCAGCAGUAGGGAAUAUUGGACAAUGGGCGCAAGCCUGAUCCAGCCAUGCCGCGUGAGUGAAGAAGGCCCUCGGGUUGUAAAGGCUCUUUGUCC
Molecule: ribosomal RNA, 416 nt
Filed under: uncultured bacterium
Lineage: Bacteria
Description: bacterial SSU rRNA
Rfam family: Bacterial small subunit ribosomal RNA
Source: RNAcentral